UCUUGGGUGUUUUUGGAGGACUGGACUAC
This 29-nucleotide non-coding RNA is filed under the name Mus musculus (house mouse). Lineage: Eukaryota; Metazoa; Chordata; Mammalia; Rodentia; Muridae. The record is from RNAcentral.